This 919-nucleotide long non-coding RNA is filed under the name Homo sapiens (human). RNAcentral describes it as "HSALNT0239142". The record is from RNAcentral. Lineage: Eukaryota; Metazoa; Chordata; Mammalia; Primates; Hominidae.
CCUGUAAUCCUAGCACUUUGGGAGACUGAGGUGGGUGGAUCGCUUGAGUCCAGGAGUUUGAGACCAGCCUGGGCAACGUGGUGAAAACCUGUCUCUACAAAAAAUACAAAAAUCAGCUGUGUAUGGUGGUGCAUGCCUGUAGGCCCAGCUACUAGAGAGACUGAGGUGGGAGAAUCACUUGAGCCUAGGAAGUCAAGUCUGCAGUGAGCUGUAAACAUGCCACUGCACUCUAGCCUGGGCAGCAGAGCAAGACCCUGUCUCAAAAAAAGGAAAGAGAAAAGGUCUCAAAACAAGGAAGUGUCACCUUGGCUUUAUACAUAACCUCAGAACCACCUAGAGUCAGAAACUCCUCUGUACUCAUCUUCCAUCCCAAACCACAAGGUCCUUUCUCAAUCAGUCACCUUUAGUAAUGAAUGCCAAGGUAUCUUCCUUUAGAGAUGAAUUUUAGCAUGAAUUCCUCUCCCUGCUUAAACAAGCAGAUACACUUGGCCACUCUGGUAGAACUUGGUAACAAUGCCAAUAAAAGGAGUAUUUGUGAUUCUUCAGUCAAGCCAGAAAGGAUGACACCAGAAAUUGCUUUGACUCAUUAUCACAAUUUGCAGAGAUAAGAGUGCAUUCAGGAAGGCUUGAGAAGUUAUACAUAGGGAGUGUCCAAGUACUCAGAGAUUAAAUGAAUGCCUCAGGAAACAGUAAGUCUCACAUCAUCAGUGGGAUAUUCAAGCUAGACUGCCCCUUGGCACAUAUCAUGGAGAGAACAUGUGGCAAGAAAUGAGGAUGAACUAGAUCAGAUAUCCAGUUUCUUCUCAUCUAAGGUCUGUGAAUUAAAAUAAAUAAUGCUAAUGAUCUUAGUGUUUGUAACAACUUAAGGUGGGUUUCUGGGCUCAAGGAUCAGAAAACCACAGACCUGACUAGGAUCCUG